GGGGGUAUAGCUCAGCUGGGAGAGCAUCUGGUUUGCAACCAGAAGGUCAGCGGUUCGAUCCCGCUUACCUCCACCA
Molecule: transfer RNA, 76 nt
Filed under: Pseudomonadota bacterium
Lineage: Bacteria; Pseudomonadati; Pseudomonadota
Also listed under: 2 other names
Description: Proteobacteria bacterium tRNA-Ala
Rfam family: tRNA
About the family: Transfer RNA (tRNA) molecules are approximately 80 nucleotides in length. Their secondary structure includes four short double-helical elements and three loops (D, anti-codon, and T loops).
Source: RNAcentral